GAUGUUUUGGAGAAAACUCAAGACAAGUAUGUUUUUGAUUGGUCAAUAUUUUGAGUAAUGACAUAAGGGUUUAGGGAACCUAGAGGAGAGGCUUCUAUUAGAAUGGUUUGGAUAAUAGAAAUAUGUUUUGAUUGCACCCUAAGGUCGCGAGAGUUAGUGAUGUCAUAUUUUAAAAAAAUACUCUUCCGAGAGAAAGUGAUUAUUUAUUGUAAGAACUGAUGAUUCUUUGAUCCCAAAUGAUUUUGAGAGAUUUCAAGGAAAUCUUACAAUUAAGUUUGGAAAUAUUAUGGGUUAUUGUAUAGGAUGAGUUAGAUAUUAGUUCUGAGAUAAAUGUUAGAAAUAUGAGGUGACUAGUGUGCGAGUUUAAAAGAGUGAUUGUAGGCUGGGAAGUAAUGUUGAAUAUUAAUGAUUGAACGUAAUUUCCUCAACAACAUAAUAUGAAGAAAGGAAGAUGGAGUUUUACGAAAAAUAUAGUGUAUACAGAGGUAGAGUUAAGUCUCAAGAAUAAACCAAACAUAUUUAACUAAACAUUUGAGAACAUUAUUUUAGGAUGUUGUGAUCUUAUAGAUUUCAUGAAGGUCAUCCUAGUAAUUAAAUUUUAGUUAUUUGAGUGAUAAGAAACUUUUAUCACUACAAGAAAACAUCUGAAUACCUAAAGAAUAUUACCCACGGUCUCAGUCCGUGAGUAAAUUAUUUGUUAUCCACGGAAAGACCGUGUAUAUAUUAUUUAUAAAAUAAAUUGAUUUUUUUAAAUUAUGUGAAAUAACUCUCAUUGUCACUCAUUCUCACUGGUCUCUAUAGAACCUUAGAGCCUUUUUUCUCCAACAUCCUCCAGAUUGCUACCUUCUCCAACCCGGAUUCCCGUCGCUCCGGCCGCCACCUCGACGUUCGCUCUCACUCGUUCACAGAUUUUGUAAUAUAUCUUGGUGAUGUGAUUACGGCUAACAAUAUAAUGAUUGGAAAUUCAAGUUUGUAUUGGGAUCAAGCAACCUCUCCAGCAAGAAAUAGGGGCAUACCUUGGGCCAGUGUAUUCGGAAAUCAUGAUGAUGCUCCAUUUCAAUGGCCAUUGGAGUGGUUUUCUGCUCCUAGUAUUCCUCUCAUUCAUUGUCCUCAAACAACUACUUCAUAUUCAUAUUCAGUCUACUUUUCUUAAUUCCUUUGGGAGUUCCAUGUGAAGUUGUAGCAAAAAUUAUCAAGACAAGGUAUGUAACAACACAAAGGAGAUAUGGUUUUUUUGUGUUUAAGGGGAGAUAGUCGAUGAAUCUAUUGUGGGAUGUGAAAGUUGUGGCGGACAUUAUCAAGGACAUGCUCUAGAAAAAUUCAAUUUCUUCAAGAAUUGUGAACCUGUUUUUCUGUUCUAUCUUUCUCUCGUUUGUAUUCUACCUGGUUGUUUUGGUUUCUUUAUUGCUUCUGAAGUUUUCUUUUCUUGAUUUCUCUAACCCAAUAAUCAACUUGUUUUCCUUGAUGCUGGUUUCAAUCUGGACUUUGCAGAGUUACCUUCAAUAAAUUAUUUAUAAACUUCUUAUUUGGCAAUAAAUAUCUUCUAUGAAAAAACUGGUAUGUUGCAGAGCUUUUGGCAGAAGUAGUUCCACUUCAUUUGAUGAUGUAUGUGCAUGCAUAUUAUGAAAUACUCUUCUAUGGAGUAAGAUGACUUCAUACUACCAUUUACUAAUAUGAUUGGAUACUUGGAUUGAGAUACUUAUGAUUUAAUGAGUGAAUACAUAGUAAGUUAUAAUGCUUGAUCUUAAUUGAGUACACUUGUUAACAAGACUUUUAAUCAUUCAAAUAAAAGUUUAUACCUACUAACAACUAAAAAUUGCCUCUAGCAGUCACUAACAGCGACAUUCCUCUUUUUAAUUUGUUGCUAAAUUUUUGCUUUGUAAUGUUGCAGUAGCUAAGAUAAGGAAUAUGUAAAGGAGAUUUUGCCAUAUUGGAUUGUAUUAAAGAGGGAUUUUGCAAUUGCUAAUAUGAUAGGAGCAAAAGGUUUAAUGGGGAACUCAUGGCCAGAUUUGGCCAUAUGGUUGCAAUUGGAUGGCUAACUGAUCCUGGUAAUAAGGCCAUAUUGUUGCUUUUGCUCAUUCUUGUAUGAAUAUCAUGAUCUUUAUUAUUUUAAUCAGUUGGUGGUCAGCAAUGUACUUACAUACCCAAUUGCUUCACUUAUUGACUGAGUUUAGAUUAUUUUUCAAUGUACUACAAGUUGUUCAUCUUUCUCUCUACACUCAAUAAUUUUCAAUGUACUUACAUACCCAAUUGAUUCACUUAUUGACUGAGUUUAGAUUGUUUUUCAAUGUACUACAAGUUGUUCAUCUUUCUCUCUACACUCAAUAAUUUUCACAAGUUCAUCCAAACACCACUCUGAAUAAGCAUACUUUGGAGAGAAUAUGACUAAAGAAAUCAAAGAUGUUUCAAUUGCUUCAAAAAGUGCUUGUCCUAUUUCAUCUCCUUGAUUUAGACAUUUAGCUUUAUAUACUGUUAGAAAUAGGUAGAAUAUUUCACGGAUUGUCUGUGAGUAAUGUAACCUACGUUGUUACCCACGGAAAAUCUAUGAGUAAAUUUACCCACGACAAAUCUAUGAGUUACGUUACUCACAGAGACCCGGUGAGUCAUACUGCGAUGGACAUUCUUUAAGUAACUGUAUUCCCCUUCUUCUCUGUCGGUAAAAUUUUUCCUACGAGCGAAAUAGCUACGAACCUGUGUCUGUAGGUAAUCUGUGAGUAAUUUUACGUUACCUACGAACAUUCCAUAGAUAAAGAUAAAAUUUGCCGUAGAUAACAACAGUUUUUCUUGUAGUGAAUGUGUAAAAUUUGGAGGUUAACUGAUAACUUCUCAUUAUAUACAU
Non-coding RNA from Cicer arietinum (chickpea), 2839 nucleotides. The record is from RefSeq and is a predicted model, not a curated record. NCBI's taxonomy places the organism in Eukaryota, Viridiplantae, Streptophyta, Magnoliopsida, Fabales, Fabaceae.